UACGUAGGGGGCGAGCGUUGUCCGGAUUUAUUGGGCGUAAAGAGCUCGUAGGCGGCUUGGCAAGUCGGGUGUGAAACCUCCAGGCUCAACCUGGAGACGCCACUCGAUACUGCCAUGGCUAGAGUCCGGUAGGGGACCACGGAAUUCCUGGUGUAGCGGUGAAAUGCGCAGAUAUCAGGAGGAACACCGGCGGCGAAGGCGGCCCUCUGGACCGUUGCUGACGCUGAGACGCGAAAGCGUGGGGAGCAAACAGG
Molecule: ribosomal RNA, 254 nt
Filed under: uncultured bacterium
Lineage: Bacteria
Description: partial 16S ribosomal RNA
Rfam family: Bacterial small subunit ribosomal RNA
Source: RNAcentral